RNAcentral lists this ribosomal RNA (484 nucleotides) under uncultured bacterium. Its description in RNAcentral is "partial 16S ribosomal RNA". It matches the Rfam family "Bacterial small subunit ribosomal RNA", at positions 29 to 523 of the family's 1533-position model. The record is from RNAcentral.
AGUGAACGCUGGCGGCGUGCUUAACACAUGCAAGUCGAACGAGAACGGGUUAUAGCUUGCUAUAAUUGUCAGCUAAGUGGCGCACGGGUGAGUAAUGUAUAGGUAAUAUGCCUCUUACUAAGGGAUAACAAAUGGAAACGUUUGCUAAUACCUUAUACUCCUUAUUAACAGAAGUUAAUAAGGGAAAGAUUUAUUGGUAAGAGAUUAGCCUGUAUUGUAUCAGUUAGUUGGUGGGGUAAUGGCUUACCAAGACUAUGACACAUAACUGGUUUGAGAGGAUGAUCAGUCACGCUGGAACUGUGACACGGUCCAGACUCCUACGGGAGGCAGCAGUGGGGAAUAUUGCACAAUGGACGAAAGUCUGAUGCAGCAACGCCGCGUGGAGGAUGACACAUUUCGGCGCGUAAACUCCUUUUAUAUGAGAAGAUAAUGACGGUAUUAUAUGAAUAAGCACCGGCUAACUCCGUGCCAGCCGCCGCGGUAA